This 661-nucleotide ribosomal RNA is filed under the name uncultured bacterium. RNAcentral describes it as "partial 16S ribosomal RNA". It matches the Rfam family "Bacterial small subunit ribosomal RNA", at positions 164 to 678 of the family's 1533-position model. The record is from RNAcentral.
ACAAAUCACAUAGUCGGNACGCCAACCGUNCCAUCGUUCUCACCAGUAGUUACGUMGAAGCUCCCAAMCGCGGUUGAGAUGACAYAGYGUAUGUAGAYMUUCCUMCUAGUGURCUCWYCGUAAUAACGYUCUGGGCAAUACAUGCRGUGSGUCAUACGCGUGAUUAUCCAGCNUCCNUGCNUGCAUGGUGGGGGGUUUGGAAAGUUUCGGCGGUUGGGGAUGGACUCGCGGCUUAUCAGCUUGUUGGUGGGGUAGUGGCUUACCAAGGCUUUGACGGGUAGCCGGCCUGAGAGGGUGACCGGCCACAUUGGGACUGAGAUACGGCCCAGACUCCUACGGGAGGCAGCAGUGGGGAAUAUUGCACAAUGGGUGGAAGCCUGAUGCAGCAACGCCGUGUGCGGGAUGACGGCCUUCGGGUUGUAAACCGCUUUCGCUCAUGACGAAGCUUUGUGUGACGGUAGUGGGUAAAGAAGCACCGGCUAACUACGUGCCAGCAGCCGCGGUGAUACGUAGGGUGCGAGCGUUGUCCGGAUUUAUUGGGCGUAAAGGGCUCGUAGGUGGUUGAUCGCGUCGGAAGUGUAAUCUUGGGGCUUAACCCUGAGCGUGCUUUUGAUACGGGUUGACUUGAGGAAGGUAGGGGAGAAUGGAAUUCCUGGUGGAG